This 96-nucleotide microRNA precursor is filed under the name Prunus persica (peach). Its description in RNAcentral is "miR6290 stem-loop (ppe-MIR6290)". The record is from miRBase by way of RNAcentral. Lineage: Eukaryota; Viridiplantae; Streptophyta; Magnoliopsida; Rosales; Rosaceae.
AUAAUGAGAGUAAGCAGAAGUCUUGAGCCGUUCCUGUUCUUGCUGGAAUAUUACUGCUGUGAUUGAAUGAGUUCAGAGAUCGUGUACAUAAGAAAG